Molecule: non-coding RNA, 45 nt
Filed under: Trichobilharzia regenti
Lineage: Eukaryota; Metazoa; Platyhelminthes; Trematoda; Strigeidida; Schistosomatidae
Source: RNAcentral
AUCCAGUUGACGAGUCCCAAAUAGGACGGAAUGCGAAUUCUGGAU